GUCUCUGGAGUAGUUGUUUGCUGCCCGCCGGAGGCAGCUUCUGAAAUCGUGAGGGAUGCUCUCCGAGCAGCUAUGGGCUGGGCUGGCUGAGGCACUUUGAUCCGGUUUUCCAGUUCUUGCACAAGCAAGUUUGUGUCAGCCACGCCCUGGGGAGGAUCCACUGGAUCACCGCCGUCACUGCCUGUUCCCGGCGGCCUCUCCGGCUUCCCUAAAGAGAGCAGCUUCCCUCGAGACCAGAAGCCAGAGCUCACCCUCCCUUGUGUCCAGGUGGGACUUUCUACAACGCUGCUGUGCACGACGUGGAUGCCGUAUGCAUGUUGCUGGGGGAAGCCACUCCGGACACUGUGUUUUCUCUGGGACAUGUCUUCUGCCCAGAUAUGGCCGCCUUAAAAGAUGCAGAUGCUGUUGUGAUCAGCAUGAAGUUUCCCUGUGAGGCCGUGGUUAGCGUGGACAUCAGCCAGCACUGCACAGACAGCUGCGACCAGGACGUCAGCCAGCACUGCACAGACAGCUGCGACCAGAGACUGGAGGGAAAUAACCUCCUGAAAUCACCAAAGAGCAGUUCCUCAGGGCCUUCCGGGUGACCGUGGCCGUGGA
RNAcentral lists this long non-coding RNA (597 nucleotides) under Homo sapiens (human). Its description in RNAcentral is "non-protein coding lnc-LRRC47-78:28". The record is from RNAcentral. Lineage: Eukaryota; Metazoa; Chordata; Mammalia; Primates; Hominidae.